ACGACCAUAGGGUGUGGAAAACAGGGCUUCCCGUCCGCUCAGCCGUACUUAAGCCACACGCCGGCCGGUUAGUAGUUGGGUGGGUGACCACCAGUGAAUCCCGGCUGUUGUAUGUU
This 116-nucleotide ribosomal RNA is filed under the name Aspergillus lentulus. The record is from RNAcentral. Lineage: Eukaryota; Fungi; Ascomycota; Eurotiomycetes; Eurotiales; Aspergillaceae.